Molecule: long non-coding RNA, 1188 nt
Filed under: Astyanax mexicanus (Mexican tetra)
Lineage: Eukaryota; Metazoa; Chordata; Actinopteri; Characiformes; Acestrorhamphidae
Description: lncRNA (ENSAMXG00005023596.1)
Source: RNAcentral
AUGAAGCUGCAUUACUGGGAUAUUCGCGGGAUUUAUUCAUGCUUACAGUGCCAGAGAGACACUGAGACCCCGAGGCAGAGUGCAGAAAGGAGCUGGACCAGUUUAGACCUUGGCUUAGCUUCAGCUUCAGCUGCACUGAACCAGUGGGAGUGUCUGGGCUCAACUCAACUCAACUCAACUGAACUUGAACUUGAGAUAAUGAUUCUGUUGCCCAAGGUUGUUAACCAGAUUCUUGUUAACUUAGUCAGUUUGUUUCAUGCAGAUGCCAUGUAUAGUAAUAUUAAAACUUUAUAUUGACUAUUUAUUCAAUCAGGUUUAAGUGAAAACACUUCUUACAUUUUUAUAUUAAAUUAUUAACUAAAUGACUCCUAUUGCACACAUUGUUGCUCUUCUUCACCACCUGAUUUAUACAGUCAUCAUGAAAUCUUAUUAGAUAAUGUUUAGUUACUUUGUGCUUACAUCACAGCAUAUCUAAUAUUUUCUUUAUAUACACAUAUAUACACACACUUUAUAUACAUACACACAAUAACACACAAUUUCAUGUCUGUCCCAAUGUUCUGGUCAACUCUGUUACAUUUAAUAUAAUAUAAUAAUACAAAAUCUGCGAACAGUUUUUUAUGAAAAUGUUUUCCAUGCACUCAGUGAUGUCACUUCCUGUGCCAGGAACAGAAGGCAGUGAGAUUUGACUGUGUUUGUGUUUGAAAUGCAAGAGAUGCCUUGCUGCCCUACAUUAUCUCACUUAGAAGGCAGUGUAGUGAUAAAAGUCUCCAAAUCAAAAAAGGGAAAGUAUACAUCCUAACACUGCUGAGGAAUCUGCAGCUCUCUGCAAUAUAUGAGUGUAAUUACAGCGUUUUAGAAAACUGGUUUAAAUGAUAGUGAUAGGGACACGGUGCUACCCAUGCAAAGAAAUCAAUAUUUCCUCAUGUAUUUCAAAUUCUCAUGUAUUUAAGAUAUAUGUUUCAAGUGAUUUUACUGUAUCAUUUUGAAAUAACGGGAUACCAAACUUAGGAAAAAUCUAUAUUUAAUUGUUCAUAAAACAGAUUUGGUCACUUGUGUGCUGUCCUCCACAUUCCCACAGCAGAUAUUCAGCGUGACUUUAAUUUUUAUUAUUUGUCUAAGCCCAAAACAGGCUAGAUUUCUCUUUUUUUUGUAUAAAGUAAAGUGAUUCUGGUCUUUUCAAAAACUUUU